Molecule: long non-coding RNA, 253 nt
Filed under: Vigna radiata
Lineage: Eukaryota; Viridiplantae; Streptophyta; Magnoliopsida; Fabales; Fabaceae
Description: long non-coding RNA (VRAD_LNC000372)
Source: RNAcentral
GCGGAGACGACGACCGACAACAUUGGUUGGUGACAGUGGUCGGCGACGGUGGCCGGAGACGGUGGUCAGAGACGGUGAUGGCGGUCAGCGACGACGGAUGACCGACAACGAUGCCCGACAGCGACGGUGGACGGAAGACAACAACAGACGAUGGCAGACAGCGGCACUGGUGAGACAGAAACUCGGAUCACCCAUUGAAAUAUAAAGACAUAGGUUGAAAAAGAUACUUUUAGGGGGUCGCAAGUGACAGCAG